AUACGUAGGUGACAAGCGUUAUCCGGAUUUACUGGGCGUAAAGGGCGUGUAGGCGGUCUUGCAAGUCAGAAGUGAAAUUCCUGAGCUCAACUCGGGCGCUGCUUCUGAAACUGCAGGACUUGAGUGCUGGAGGGGAUAGCGGAAUUCCUAGUGGAGCGGUAAAAUGCGCAGAUAUUAGGAAGAACACCGGUGGCGAAGGCGGCUAUCUGGACAGUAACUGACGCUGAGGCGCGAAAGCGUGGGGAGCAAACAGGAUUAGAUACCCUGGUAGUCCACGCCGUAAACGAUGAGUGCUAAGUGUUGGAGGGUUUCCGCCCUUCAGUGCUGCAGCUAACGCAUUAAGCACUCCGCCUGGGGAGUACGGCCGCAAGGCUGAAACUUAAAGGAAUUGGCGGGG
RNAcentral lists this ribosomal RNA (397 nucleotides) under uncultured bacterium. Its description in RNAcentral is "partial 16S ribosomal RNA". It matches the Rfam family "Bacterial small subunit ribosomal RNA", at positions 523 to 918 of the family's 1533-position model. The record is from RNAcentral.